Molecule: ribosomal RNA, 436 nt
Filed under: uncultured Acholeplasma sp.
Lineage: Bacteria; Bacillati; Mycoplasmatota; Mollicutes; Acholeplasmatales; Acholeplasmataceae
Description: bacterial SSU rRNA
Rfam family: Bacterial small subunit ribosomal RNA
Source: RNAcentral
GUUGUUUAAUUCGAUGAUACGCGAAGAACUUACCAGGUCUUGACAUCCCAUGCAAAGACUAUAGAGAUAUAGUGGAGGUUACCAUGGAGACAGGUGGUGCAUGGUUGUCGUCAGCUCGUGUCGUGAGAUGUUGGGUUAAGUCCCGCAACGAGCGCAACCCUUAUUGCUAGUUACCAUCAUUAAGUUGGGGACUCUAGCGAGACUGCCAGUGAUAAACUGGAGGAAGGUGGGGAUGACGUCAAAUCAUCAUGCCCCUUAUGACCUGGGCUACAAACGUGAUACAAUGGCUGAAACAAAGGGCAGCGAAGCAGUGAUGUGAAGCGAAACCCAAAAAAGCAGUCUCAGUUCGGAUUGAAGUCUGCAACUCGACUUCAUGAAGUCGGAAUCGCUAGUAAUCGCGAAUCAGAACGUCGCGGUGAAUACGUUCUCGGGGUUU